RNAcentral lists this non-coding RNA (112 nucleotides) under human gut metagenome. Its description in RNAcentral is "FMN riboswitch (RFN element)". It matches the Rfam family "FMN riboswitch aptamer (RFN element)". Rfam says of the family: The RFN element is a highly conserved domain that is found frequently in the 5'-untranslated regions of prokaryotic mRNAs that encode for flavin mononucleotide (FMN) biosynthesis and transport proteins. This element is a metabolite-dependent riboswitch that directly binds FMN in the absence of proteins. The record is from RNAcentral.
UGUCUUCGGGGCGGGGUGCAAUUCCCCACCGGUGGUGAAAGCCCACGAGCAGGGUUACCUGCUGAUCUGGUGUAAUUCCAGAGCCGACGGUACAGUCCGGAUGAAAGAAGAA